RNAcentral lists this transfer RNA (72 nucleotides) under Urocitellus parryii (Arctic ground squirrel). RNAcentral's name for it is "Spermophilus parryii (Arctic ground squirrel) tRNA". It matches the Rfam family "tRNA". Rfam says of the family: Transfer RNA (tRNA) molecules are approximately 80 nucleotides in length. Their secondary structure includes four short double-helical elements and three loops (D, anti-codon, and T loops). Further hydrogen bonds mediate the characteristic L-shaped molecular structure. tRNAs have two regions of fundamental functional importance: the anti-codon, which is responsible for specific mRNA codon recognition, and the 3' end, to which the tRNAs corresponding amino acid is attached (by aminoacyl-tRNA synthetases). tRNAs cope with the degeneracy of the genetic code in two manners: having more than one tRNA (with a specific anti-codon) for a particular amino acid; and 'wobble' base-pairing, i.e. permitting non-standard base-pairing at the 3rd anti-codon position. The record is from Rfam by way of RNAcentral. Lineage: Eukaryota; Metazoa; Chordata; Mammalia; Rodentia; Sciuridae. RNAcentral also lists the same sequence under 2 other names.
UGGGUUGUGGCUCAGUGGUAGAGCACUCGCCUAGCAUGUGCGAGGCCCUGGGUUCAAUCCUCAGCACCACAU